Molecule: ribosomal RNA, 645 nt
Filed under: Triticum aestivum (bread wheat)
Lineage: Eukaryota; Viridiplantae; Streptophyta; Magnoliopsida; Poales; Poaceae
Description: partial small subunit ribosomal RNA
Source: RNAcentral
AUGAUCACCACUUUCUGGAAAUUCUAUCGAGUUCUCCCGGAGCACAGGGCCAGAGCGGACCAGAUCGUGUUGCGCCAAUGCAAGAAGAAGGCCCGCCAGAUGCAGUACGAGGUGCGCUAUGUGGCCAUCUCGACAUACCAUCAUGACUAUCUUGGUGUGAAGCUGCCCAAGGAAGACACGCGGAGGAUGGGCAUUACCUUGGAUAGGGACGAGUUCUUGAAGGUGUUACCAAAUUGGUGUUAUGGAAAAGACGAGUUCUGGGCGGCAUUGGUGGAUCUUUGGUGUGAUGAGGCUGGAGCCUGGGCGGCUAUGAGAGUCAAAAACAAGGCUAACCGAGGGAAGGAGGGAGUACAUCCUCAGGGAAAACGAAACCACUAUCUCCAUAAGGCAGUUAAUGAGAAGAAACUGAAGCGGCCGCUCUCACACAUGCAGGCGUGGGAGAUUGCCCAUACGCGGAAGGACCCCAAGCCUGGCGAGCCCAAGUACUACGGCAAGAAGACCGCGCAUAGGAAGAAGGCCUACUCCGAUGGUAUCUGGCGUUACAUCCUGACACACGUGACCCCAUUGCGGCGGAUCUGGACGAAAGGGUGGUGGUGGGCAUGGGGCCGAAGGAGCACGGUCGGGAGGCGGUUCUCGAUGCUGUGA